CCUACGGGAGGCAGCAGUGAGGAAUCUUCCACAAUGGGCGAAAGCCUGAUGGAGCAACGCCGCGUGCAGGAUGAAGGCCUUCGGGUUGUAAACUGCUUUUAUAAGUGAGGAAUAUGACGGUAGCUUAUGAAUAAGGAUCGGCUAACUACGUGCCAGCAGCCGCGGUCAUACGUAGGAUCCGAGCGUUAUCCGGAGUGACUGGGCGUAAAGAGUUGCGUAGGCGGUUUGUUAAGUGAAUAGUGAAAUCUGGUGGCUCAACCAUACAGGCUAUUAUUCAAACUGGCAAACUCGAGAGUGGUAGAGGUCACUGGAAUUUCUUGUGUAGGAGUGAAAUCCGUAGAUAUAAGAAGGAACACCGAUGGCGUAGGCAGGUGACUGGACCAUUUCUGACGCUAAGGCACGAAAGCGUGGGGAGCGAACCGGAUUAGAUACCCUUGUAGUC
This 442-nucleotide ribosomal RNA is filed under the name uncultured bacterium. RNAcentral describes it as "bacterial SSU rRNA". It matches the Rfam family "Bacterial small subunit ribosomal RNA", at positions 338 to 795 of the family's 1533-position model. The record is from RNAcentral.